AUUCAUCCUAGACACCAGUUUCACACAAGCAUACGAAUGGGUAGACCUCGAAUCAAUCAAAGCAACAGUAGAAGUAUCAUGAAGAGAAAAAGUACCCAUAAUCACAUUCGGUGAUGAUGCCUCUUUGCGAGCAUGAAUGGCAUAAGUCCUUGCAAGAGCUCAGCCCUUGGACCUCACAGUGGAAUCUCUAAGUGUACCUUGGUUACUAGGCCCACUUCCCGAGCUCUUUUGUG
This 233-nucleotide long non-coding RNA is filed under the name Gossypium barbadense (sea-island cotton). RNAcentral's name for it is "long non-coding RNA (GBAR_LNC003050)". The record is from RNAcentral. Lineage: Eukaryota; Viridiplantae; Streptophyta; Magnoliopsida; Malvales; Malvaceae.